ACAAGCGGUGGAGCAUGUGGCUUAAUUCGAAGCAACGCGAAGAACCUUACCAGGUCUUGACAUCCCUGACAACCCAGAGAUUGGGCGUUCCCCUUCGGGGGACAGGGUGACAGGUGGUGCAUGGUUGUCGUCAGCUCGUGUCGUGAGAUGUUGGGUUAAGUCCCGCAACGAGCGCAACCCUCGCCUCUAGUUGCCAGCAUUCGGUUGGGCACUCUAGAGGGACUGCCGGCGACAAGUCGGAGGAAGGUGGGGAUGACGUCAAAUCAUCAUGCCCCUUAUGACCUGGGCUACACACGUGCUACAAUGGGCGGUACAAAGGGUCGCGAACCCGCGAGGGGGGAGCCAAUCCCAAAAAGCCGCUCUCAGUUCGGAUUGCAGGCUGCAACUCGCCUGCAUGAAGUCGGAAUCGCUAGUAAUCGCGGAUCAGCACGCCGCGGUGAAUACGUUCCCGGGCCUU
Molecule: ribosomal RNA, 457 nt
Filed under: uncultured Geobacillus sp.
Lineage: Bacteria; Bacillati; Bacillota; Bacilli; Caryophanales; Anoxybacillaceae
Description: bacterial SSU rRNA
Rfam family: Bacterial small subunit ribosomal RNA
Source: RNAcentral